Molecule: ribosomal RNA, 253 nt
Filed under: uncultured bacterium
Lineage: Bacteria
Description: partial 16S ribosomal RNA
Rfam family: Bacterial small subunit ribosomal RNA
Source: RNAcentral
UACGUAGGCAGCGAGCGUUGUUCGGCGUUACUGGGCGUAAAGCGUGCGUAGGCGGUGUCUUAAGUUUGUUGUGAAAUCUCCCGGCUUAACCGGGAGGGUGCGGCGAAUACUGAGAUGCUGGAGUGCCGGAGAGGUAAGCGGAAUUCCUGGUGUAGCGGUGAAAUGCGUAGAUAUCAGGAGGAACACCUGCGGUGUAGACGGCUUACUGGACGGUAACUGACGCUGAGGCACGAAAGCGUGGGUAGCAAACAGG